RNAcentral lists this ribosomal RNA (1319 nucleotides) under uncultured bacterium. RNAcentral's name for it is "partial 16S ribosomal RNA". It matches the Rfam family "Bacterial small subunit ribosomal RNA", at positions 92 to 1400 of the family's 1533-position model. The record is from RNAcentral.
CGAGCGGCGAACGGGUGAGUAACGGAUCGGAACGUAUCCUCGAGUGGGGGAUAGCCCGGCGAAAGCCGGAUUAAUACCGCAUACGAUCCCCGGGUGGAAAUCCGGGGAUGAAAGCGGGGGACCGCAAGGCCUCGCGCUCGUGGAGCGGCCGAUCUCUGAUUAGCUAGUUGGUAGGGUAAUGGCCUACCAAGGCUUUGAUCGUUAGCUGGUCUGAGAGGAUGGCCAGCCACACUGGAACUGAGACACGGUCCAGACUCCUACGGGAGGCAGCAGUGGGGAAUCUUGCACAAUGGGCGAAAGCCUGAUGCAGCGACGCCGCGUGGGGGAUGAAGCUUUUCGGAGUGUAAACCCCCUUCGACCCGGACGAAUACCUCGUAAGAGGGGUGACGGUACGGGUAUAAGAAGCCCCGGCUAACUACGUGCCAGCAGCCGCGGUAAGACGUGGGGGGCCAGCGUUGUUCGGAAUUACUGGGCGUAAAGAGCUCGUAGGCGGCCUGUCGCGUCAGCUGUGAAAACUUGGGGCUCAACCCUGAGCUUGCAGUCGAUACGGGCAGGCUAGAGUUCGGCAGGGGAGACUGGAAUUCCUGGUGUAGCGGUGAAAUGCGCAGAUAUCAGGAGGAACACCGGUGGCGAAGGCGGGUCUCUGGGCCGAUACUGACGCUGAGGAGCGAAAGCGUGGGGAGCGAACAGGAUUAGAUACCCUGGUAGUCCACGCCGUAAACGUUGGGCGCUAGGUGUGGGAUCCCUUCCACGGGUUCCGUGCCGCAGCUAACGCAUUAAGCGCCCCGCCUGGGGAGUACGGCCGCAAGGCUAAAACUCAAAGGAAUUGACGGGGGCCCGCACAAGCGGCGGAGCAUGUGGAUUAAUUCGAUGCAACGCGAAGAACCUUACCAGCUCUUGACAUGUCUCGUAUGGGGACCGGAGACGGUUUCCUUCAGUUCGGCUGGCGAGAACACAGGUGCUGCAUGGCUGUCGUCAGCUCGUGUCGUGAGAUGUUGGGUUAAGUCCCGCAACGAGCGCAACCCCCGCCCUUAGUUGCCAUCAUUCAGUUGGGCACUCUAGGGGGACUGCCGGUGAUAAGCCGAGAGGAAGGUGGGGAUGACGUCAAGUCCUCAUGGCCCUUACGGGCUGGGCUACACACGUGCUACAAUGGCGGUGACAAUGGGAUGCUGAGGGGCGACCCCGAGCAAAUCUCAAAAAGCCGUCUCAGUUCGGAUUGCACUCUGCAACUCGAGUGCAUGAAGGUGGAAUCGCUAGUAAUCGUAGAUCAGAACGCUACGGUGAAUACGUUCCCGGGCCUUGCACACACCGCCCGUCAC